Molecule: transfer RNA, 70 nt
Filed under: Perca flavescens (yellow perch)
Lineage: Eukaryota; Metazoa; Chordata; Actinopteri; Perciformes; Percidae
Rfam family: tRNA
About the family: Transfer RNA (tRNA) molecules are approximately 80 nucleotides in length. Their secondary structure includes four short double-helical elements and three loops (D, anti-codon, and T loops). Further hydrogen bonds mediate the characteristic L-shaped molecular structure. tRNAs have two regions of fundamental functional importance: the anti-codon, which is responsible for specific mRNA codon recognition, and the 3' end, to which the tRNAs corresponding amino acid is attached (by aminoacyl-tRNA synthetases). tRNAs cope with the degeneracy of the genetic code in two manners: having more than one tRNA (with a specific anti-codon) for a particular amino acid; and 'wobble' base-pairing, i.e. permitting non-standard base-pairing at the 3rd anti-codon position.
Source: Rfam by way of RNAcentral
GGGGAUGUAGCUCAGUGGUAGAGUGCAUUUUUGCAUGUAUGAGGCCCCGGGUUCAAUCCCGGCAUUCCAG